AUAAUGACUCUCGGCAACGGAUAUCUAGGCUCUUGCAUCGAUGAAGAACGUAGCGAAAUGCGAUACUUGGUGUGAAUUGCAGAAUCCCGUGAACCAUCGAGUCUUUGAACGCAAGUUGCGCCCGAUGCCAUUAGGUUGAGGGCACGUCUGCUUGGGUGUCACA
Molecule: ribosomal RNA, 163 nt
Filed under: Parochetus communis (shamrock pea)
Lineage: Eukaryota; Viridiplantae; Streptophyta; Magnoliopsida; Fabales; Fabaceae
Description: 5.8S ribosomal RNA
Rfam family: 5.8S ribosomal RNA
About the family: 5.8S ribosomal RNA (5.8S rRNA) is a component of the large subunit of the eukaryotic ribosome. It is transcribed by RNA polymerase I as part of the 45S precursor that also contains 18S and 28S rRNA.
Source: RNAcentral